This 498-nucleotide ribosomal RNA is filed under the name uncultured bacterium. RNAcentral describes it as "partial 16S ribosomal RNA". It matches the Rfam family "Bacterial small subunit ribosomal RNA", at positions 899 to 1397 of the family's 1533-position model. The record is from RNAcentral.
ACUCAAAGGAAUUGACGGGGACCCGCACAAGCGGUGGAGCAUGUGGUUCAAUUCGAUGCAACGCGAAGAACCUUACCUGGUCUUGACAUCCCAGGAACCCUGCAGAGAUGCGGGGGUGCCUUCGGGAACCUGGAGACAGGUGCUGCAUGGCUGUCGUCAGCUCGUGUCGUGAGAUGUUGGGUUAAGUCCCGCAACGAGCGCAACCCUUGUCCGUAGUUGCCAGCAUUCAGUUGGGCACUCUACGGAGACCGCCGGUGACAAAUCGGAGGAAGGUGGGGACGACGUCAAGUCAUCAUGGCCCUUAUGACCAGGGCUACACACGUGCUACAAUGGCCGGUACAGAGGGUCGCCAACCCGCGAGGGGGAGCUAAUCCCAGAAAGCCGGUCGUAGUCCAGAUCGGAGUCUGCAACUCGACUCCGUGAAGCCGGAAUCGCUAGUAAUCGCGAAUCAGCACUGUCGCGGUGAAUACGUUCCCGGGUCUUGUACACACCGCCCGU